Molecule: ribosomal RNA, 173 nt
Filed under: uncultured bacterium
Lineage: Bacteria
Description: partial 16S ribosomal RNA
Rfam family: Bacterial small subunit ribosomal RNA
Source: RNAcentral
GAAUGCAGGGGCGAGCCCUGACGCAGCAACGCCGCGUGGAGGAUGAAGAUCUUUGGAUUGUAAACUUCUGUUUGAUCGGGAAGAAAAGUCAAUGGUCAAUACCCAUUUGCACUGACGUUACCGAUAAAGAAAGCACCGGCUAAUCGCGUGCCAGCAGCCGCGGUAAUACGAGA